GGGGAUUUAGCUCAGUGGUGUAAGCACCUGCCUGGCAAGCAUGAAAUCGUGAGUUCAAUCCCUAGUUCCCC
This 71-nucleotide transfer RNA is filed under the name Cavia porcellus (domestic guinea pig). It matches the Rfam family "tRNA". From Rfam's summary of the family: Transfer RNA (tRNA) molecules are approximately 80 nucleotides in length. Their secondary structure includes four short double-helical elements and three loops (D, anti-codon, and T loops). Lineage: Eukaryota; Metazoa; Chordata; Mammalia; Rodentia; Caviidae. The record is from Rfam by way of RNAcentral.